Molecule: ribosomal RNA, 491 nt
Filed under: uncultured bacterium
Lineage: Bacteria
Description: partial 16S ribosomal RNA
Rfam family: Bacterial small subunit ribosomal RNA
Source: RNAcentral
AGUGAACGCUGGCGGUAGGCCUAACACAUGCAAGUCGAACGGCAGCACAGUAAGAGCUUGCUCUUACGGGUGGCGAGUGGCGGACGGGUGAGGAAUACAUCGGAAUCUACUUUUUCGUGGGGGAUAACGUAGGGAAACUUACGCUAAUACCGCCUACGACCUACGGGUGAAAGCAGGGGAUCUUCGGACCUUGCGCGAUUGAAUGAGCCGAUGUCGGAUUAGCUAGUUGGCGGGGUAAAGGCCCACCAAGGCGACGAUCCGUAGCUGGUCUGAGAGGAUGUUCAGCCACACUGGAACUGAGACACGGGCCAGACUCCUACGGGAGGCAGCAGUGGGGAAUAUUGGACAAUGGGCGCAAGCCUGAUCCAGCCAUACCGCGUGGGUGAAGAAGGCCUUCGGGUUGUAAAGCCCUUUUGUUGGGAAAGAAAAGCAGCAGGUUAAUACCCCGCUGUUCUGACGGUACCCAAAGAAUAAGCACCGGCUAACUUCGU